RNAcentral lists this microRNA precursor (64 nucleotides) under Oreochromis niloticus (Nile tilapia). RNAcentral's name for it is "microRNA oni-mir-10948 precursor". The record is from miRBase by way of RNAcentral. Lineage: Eukaryota; Metazoa; Chordata; Actinopteri; Cichliformes; Cichlidae.
GACUGAGGGAGAAAUGGAGGUGCGCUACCGACAUGGAUCCCUCUAUUUCUUUUCUCUCCUUCCU